UGCGUAGGUGGUAUCGUAUGUCGGAUGUGAAAGCCCAUGGCUCAACUGUGGAAUUGCAUUCGAAACUGCGGAACUAGAGUACAGGAGGGGAGAGCGGAAUUCUUGGUGUAGCGGUGAAAUGCGUUGAUAUCAAGAAGAACACCGGCGGCGAAGGCGGCUCUCUGGAAUGUUACUGACACUGAGGCACGAAAGCUGGGGGAGCAAACCGGAUUAGAUACCCGAGUAGUCC
This 229-nucleotide ribosomal RNA is filed under the name uncultured bacterium. RNAcentral describes it as "partial 16S ribosomal RNA". It matches the Rfam family "Bacterial small subunit ribosomal RNA", at positions 568 to 796 of the family's 1533-position model. The record is from RNAcentral.